GUAUUCUCUCAUUGUCCUCCAUACUAUAGUAUGGAGGACAAUGAGAGAAUUAGGUGGUUUAUAAGGUGUAGCUAUUUCAGUGAUCACUUACACCACAAUAAAGAAAGAAGGAUUUUAUAAAAGGAAUUGAAGAGAAGAUCCUUUCUACUACUGCAAAAUCUAACUGGAAAUGCACCAGAAAAAGAGACGCACAACCAAAAAGACGCAAAACAGCAAAAAGAAGCACAGCAGCAAAAGGGUGGGGCUGGUUACUGCAGUAAAACAAGGCGUGUACACCCAAACUCAGCAUAAAGACCCACUCAGACACACAAGAGGUGAAGGAUACUGUUAUUAAUGGA
This is a long non-coding RNA of Amphimedon queenslandica, 338 nucleotides long. RefSeq lists it as uncharacterized. NCBI's taxonomy places the organism in Eukaryota, Metazoa, Porifera, Demospongiae, Haplosclerida, Niphatidae. The transcript is spliced from 3 exons. The record is from RefSeq and is a predicted model, not a curated record.